CGUAGGGCGCGAGCGUUGUCCGGAAUUAUUGGGCGUAAAGAGCUCGUAGGCGGCUGGUCGCGUCUGUCGUGAAAUCCUCUGGCUUAACUGGGGGCGUGCGGUGGGUACGGGCCGGCUUGAGUGCGGUAGGGGAGGCUGGAAUUCCUGGUGUAGCGGUGGAAUGCGCAGAUAUCAGGAGGAACACCGGUGGCGAAGGCGGGUCUCUGGGCCUGUACUGACGCUGAGGAGCGAAAGCGUGGGGAGCGAACAGGAUU
This 254-nucleotide ribosomal RNA is filed under the name uncultured bacterium. Its description in RNAcentral is "partial 16S ribosomal RNA". It matches the Rfam family "Bacterial small subunit ribosomal RNA", at positions 526 to 779 of the family's 1533-position model. The record is from RNAcentral.